RNAcentral lists this unclassified non-coding RNA (520 nucleotides) under uncultured Glomus. Its description in RNAcentral is "SSU rRNA". It matches the Rfam family "Eukaryotic small subunit ribosomal RNA", at positions 569 to 1093 of the family's 1831-position model. Lineage: Eukaryota; Fungi; Glomeromycota; Glomeromycetes; Glomerales; Glomeraceae. The record is from RNAcentral.
AGCAGCCGCGGUAAUUCCAGCUCCAAUAGCGUAUAUUAAAGUUGCUGCAGUUAAAAAGCUCGUAGUUGAAUUUCGGGACUAAUAUGUCGGUCGUGCCUCGGUACGUACUGGUUUAUUGGUUUCUCCUUUCUGAAGAACCAUGAUGUCAUUUAUUUGGUGUCGUGGGGAAUCAGGACUGUUACUUUGAAAAAAUUAGAGUGUUUAAAGCAGGCUCACGCUUGAAUACAUUAGCAUGGAAUAAUGAAAUAGGACGUUUGAUUCUAUUUUGUUGGUUUCUAGGAUCGACGUAAUGAUUAAUAGGGAUAGUUGGGGGCAUUAGUACUCAAUUGUCAGAGGUGAAAUUCUUGGAUUUAUUGAAGACUAACUACUGCGAAAGCAUUUGCCAAGGAUGUUUUCAUUAAUCAAGAACGAAAGUUAGGGGAUCGAAGACGAUCAGAUACCGUCGUAGUCUUAACCAUAAACUAUGCCGACUAGGGAUCGGAUGAUGUUAAUUUUUAAUGACUCAUUCGGCGCCUUACGG